Long non-coding RNA from Salvia miltiorrhiza (redroot sage), 456 nucleotides. RefSeq lists it as uncharacterized. The transcript has 2 exons. The record is from RefSeq and is a predicted model, not a curated record. NCBI's taxonomy places the organism in Eukaryota, Viridiplantae, Streptophyta, Magnoliopsida, Lamiales, Lamiaceae.
CCGCCCAAACUCACUCACUCACACAUAUUACACGUUUGUUUCAGCCAAACACUUUUAACUCACACACACAACACCUAAAACACACACUAAACUCACGCAUAACACCAUUGUUGAGGAGUUGGAGCUUUUGACCUCCGAUUUGAGCACCGAGACGAGCGCCGAUCAUCUUUUCGAUCACGUAUCUAAGUAGGUUGAGCUGAUGUGAUGAUGGUGCUGCAAUGAGCGGAGUCUCCAGGGUUGUUAAUAAAUAGUUAACCUGUCUAGAAUAUGUCUUCAUACAUAUGUCUAGCUACUUUCCGCUGCAAGAUGUUGUUGAUGUUAUAGUAUGUUAUGUCAUACUUUGAGUCUUAAGAGAAUGGUUGCAUAUGAUGUAUAACUUGAUUAAUGAUAUUAAUUAACUUUUAUGCAGUCUUUCAUAGACUGUUUUCAAUUGAGUAUUAAUGAAUAAAAAUGACG